Molecule: ribosomal RNA, 468 nt
Filed under: uncultured bacterium
Lineage: Bacteria
Description: partial 16S ribosomal RNA
Rfam family: Bacterial small subunit ribosomal RNA
Source: RNAcentral
GACGAACGCUGGCGGCGUGCUUAACACAUGCAAGUCGAACGGAAAGGCCCUGCUUUUGUGGGGUGCUCGAGUGGCGAACGGGUGAGUAACACGUGAGUAACCUGCCCCUGACUUUGGGAUAACUUUAGGAAACUGGGGCUAAUACCGGAUAGGAGCUCCUGCUGCACGGUGGGGGUUGGAAAGUUUCGGCGGUUGGGGAUGGUCUCGCGGCUUAUCAGCUUCUUGGUGGGGUAGUGGCUUACCAAGGCUUUGACGGGUAGCCGGCCUGAGAGGGUGAACGGCCUCAUGGGGACUGAGAUACGGCCCAGUCGGCUACGGUAGGCAGCGGUGGGGAAUAUUGCGCAGUAGGCGGAAGCCUGAUGCGGCGGCCCCGCGUGCGGGAUAACGGCCUUCGAGUUAUAAACCGCUUUCGCCUGUGACGAAGCGUGAGUGACGGUAAUGGGUAAGAAAGCACCGGCUAACUACGUG